ACCUAUAAUAUAGGUAAAAUAUACCAAUAAAAUCGGUAGAAUAUACCAAUAUUGUGAGAGAAGUGGCGUUACUCAAAUAUGGGUAAGUUCAUUUACUCAUAUUUGGAUGAAAUAAAAAACAUAAACAAAAUGAUUUCCCGAAGCUUAAACAUCACCCGAACGAACAUCAAGUUUGUCCUCUGAAAAACGCCGGGCUGCACAUGAAAACCUGGUAAACGAACUAGGCUGCAUCUCGGGGUGCAUCACAGUCAUCCUUUCCGGAUGUAACUUUGGGAACGAUCCCCAACCGCUUUGGGAAGAAGGCUUGGGAUGUCUUCUGGGAUCCCGUGGAAACGUUGAGGCAGUGAAAAGUGCUCAAUACUAAAAACUUUGUGCUGGUUCUGGAGCUACGAAAAUUGCCUGAAAGAAUACAACACUAGCUCUUACCCAACAAUCCAUAGUUGGCCGAGUGAUUGUCGCAGUUGACCAAUCUCUUGAACCCACCCCAAAUAUAGUGUUAUUUUUCAGAGGAGCACCACCACCAGUUAUUUUGAUUGAACGCAUUUCGUAUGGCUCCGAGCAAAACUGUUUCGACUAACAAGACUUAGAUCCAAGGGCAUGUCAUAAUUAGCACUGGAAGCUAUUUCGACGUUCAUUUCGGUGCAGUAGAAUUCUUAAAACUAGACUCCGUCGGAUUUCAAUCAACGAAAUACAAUCGCAAGUGGAAAUAGUCGAUAGCUGAUAUUUUUUCCACCUGACACACCUGUUUUGUGAGGAUUGUGUCGAAUACAAAGGAUCAACAAAAUCACUAAUUAAAAAGAACGACUUUUGCAAGGCCGUGCGGAAAAAUUACAAGGAGGAAAGAAUCUGUUAAGAGCUCGAGAAGCCACAAGAUGUAUUCUCGAUGGACCUAAUAUGGAAAAGUAAACUGCAUGCGACAUCAACAGUGAUCGGAUCCGGAUUAUACCUGAGACUAAAAUGGGUUGGAUUCAACGAAGGCGGAAGAGUUACGGAUUUGAUCAAGAACGAGGGAACUACGGAGACAAGAACAUGAGCGCGAAACGGACUGCUGUUGUUCUCGUAUCAAAGGUUAAUCUUCUUUAUUGCUAUCCGUUGCUGCUGCUGGAAUAUAAUCAAAGGUUUGGAUUUUAAAGAUAUUAGACCUGUUGAUAUGGACAUGUGAUUCACUAUUUGGAUCUGAAGCCGCUGAUAAAUGUUCCGCUUCAUGUCGCUGCUAUCAGGCUACCAAAAUUAUUCCGGUCUGGUAUUACAUGCAGCCCUUCUUCCGGUCACUUGUAUUUUAAUGUUAGGUAACAUUAUUUAGCUACUAAGCAGGACCGGAUUUAGCCGGAAGGGGGCCCCGGGGCCGACGGUAUGUGGGGGCCCCAAAAUGUACAAAAAAGGUUGGUUUUGGUACAUAAGAUUUGUGGGGGCCCGGGCCACGGCCCCCCGGCUCCCCCAUAAAUCCGGCCCUGCUACUAAGUAAACGACAACAUAAUUUAAAAUAACUAAUGUCAUUUUAUACAUGAUUUCAUUAAAUCAAUAAAAUAAUUUCCGUGAUACGACUUUUUAUUGGACGGUAUACCAACAUUACAUUCCAUAUAAACAAUAUUUUCAAUAUCCAAAACAAAAAAGGUUCACCCAUAUCUGAGUCAAUUUCACCUAUAAUAGAGUACCCAUAAAUAGGUAAACAUUACCAAUAUUUCUAUGAACCAUUUGUACUCAAAUAUGGGUAAACGGCA
Molecule: long non-coding RNA, 1721 nt
Organism: Armigeres subalbatus
Lineage: Eukaryota; Metazoa; Arthropoda; Insecta; Diptera; Culicidae
Exons: 5
Source: RefSeq, a predicted model, not a curated record